GCCCAGGUGCCCUAACUUCUCCGGGAGACAUUGGCUUUGGUUGCAGCAAACUUUGGUCAUGGACCUCUUCCAAAUGAUUUUAACCUGCGGCACUUCAGGAUGAAUCCACCCAUCCACAGUCCUCCUCCAUCAGGUCUGCAAGGAGCCACUUCUGUACCCACGACCAAACAGAAUUCCGUUGCUGUGGAAGAGUGAGCCCACCUUUUUUCCUGUGUAAGCAACCUUUCCAUAUCCUUAGCAGUUCUCAAAUAUUUGCUGAAAAUGUUGAUCAGCUGUUUAUCCCCCGCCUUCUUCGUCAACAAAGGAAUAUACUUUCCUCGGUUUUUAUUACCAUCCCAGUGGGAUCAGAGAAAGAGAAGACGGAGGCGCGUGGCCCACGGUCAGCCUUCGAAUGGAAAUCUUCCCCUCCCUCCCAGUACGUGACUUCUCGGUCGUCUUUGUCAGAGACCUGUAUGUCUUCUCCUCCAAAUGCCAAUUUGCUAAGAAUUCACAGCCUCGGUGCCAUCAGCUGCCUGGGUCCAUGGCUCUGGC
RNAcentral lists this long non-coding RNA (531 nucleotides) under Fukomys damarensis (Damara mole-rat). Its description in RNAcentral is "lncRNA (ENSFDAG00000026942.1)". The record is from RNAcentral. Lineage: Eukaryota; Metazoa; Chordata; Mammalia; Rodentia; Bathyergidae.